GACGAACGCUGGCGGCGUGCCUAAUACAUGCAAGUCGAGCGCGUGUAGCAAUACACGAGCGGCGGACGGGUGAGUAACGCGUGGGUAACCUGCCCUCUAGCCUGGGAUAACAGCGCGAAAGUGCUGCUAACACCGGAUAUGCUCACAAGGAGGCAUCUCCUGGUGAGGAAAGUUUACACUAGAGGAUGGGCCCGCGUCCCAUUAGCUAGUUGGUGAGGUAACGGCCCACCAAGGCGACGAUGGGUAGCCGACCUGAGAGGGUGAUCGGCCACACUGGGACUGAGACACGGCCCAGACUCCUACGGGAGGCAGCAGUAGGGAAUUUUCCGCAAUGGGCGAAAGCCUGACGGAGCAACGCCGCGUGAGGGAUGAAGGUCUUCGGAUCGUAAACCUCUGUCUUCAGGGACGAUAAUGACGGUACCUGAGGAGGAAGCCACGGCUAACUACGUGCCAGCAGCCGCGGUAAUACGUAGGUGGCGAGCGUUGUCCGGAAUUACUGGGCGUAAAGGGCGUGUAGGCGGCCUUUUAAGUCAGAUGUGAAAUCUCAGGGCUUAACCCUGAAACUGCAUUUGAAACUGGAGGGCUUGAGGAUCGGAGAGGGCAGUGGAAUUCCCAGUGUAGCGGUGAAAUGCGUAGAUAUUGGGAGGAACACCAGUGGCGAAGGCGACUGCCUGGACGACACCUGACGCUGAGGCGCGAAAGCUAGGGGAGCAAACGGGAUUAGAUACCCCGGUAGUCCUAGCCGUAAACGAUGGGUACUAGGUGUGGGAGGUAUCGACCCCUUCCGUGCCGCAGUUAACACAAUAAGUACCCCGCCUGGGGAGUACGGCCGCAAGGUUG
This 840-nucleotide ribosomal RNA is filed under the name uncultured bacterium. RNAcentral describes it as "bacterial SSU rRNA". It matches the Rfam family "Bacterial small subunit ribosomal RNA", at positions 28 to 896 of the family's 1533-position model. The record is from RNAcentral.